CAUGGACUUCAUUUCAGAUUUAAUAGCUCCAAGCCACUUCUCAAAGUUAGAUCCUUGUAUGGCAUUCGUAUGGAAGAUUAGAUCCCCAUCCUAAAUCUAGAAACUGAAGUAUCUAUUCGACUGACAUGGUACUCUACUGUAUCUAUUCCAGGAUGCCUUUAUAUUGGGCUCCGAAUUUGAUCUAAUCAACUCCAGUUCUGUUGGUUCAUGUGUGUCAGUGUCGGUUCCUCUACCUAUCAAGCUUCUCCAAGCUUGCUCUUAACGGUAUC
RNAcentral lists this long non-coding RNA (269 nucleotides) under Elaeis guineensis (African oil palm). RNAcentral describes it as "long non-coding RNA (EGUI_LNC058773)". The record is from RNAcentral. Lineage: Eukaryota; Viridiplantae; Streptophyta; Magnoliopsida; Arecales; Arecaceae.